CACUAUGCCUAGCCCUAAACAUCGGUAGCAUUCUACAGCUGCUACCCGCCUGGGUACUACGAGCAUCAGCUUAAAACCCAAAGGACUUGGCGGUGCUUUAGAUCCACCUAGAGGAGCCUGUUCUAGAACCGAUGCCCCCCGUUCAACCUCACCCUUUCUUGUUUUCCCCGCCUAUAUACCACCGUCGUCAGCUUACCCUGUGAAGGCCUCAUAGUAAGCAAGAUUGGCACAGCCCAAAACGUCAGGUCGAGGUGUAGCGCAUGGAAGGGGAAGAAAUGGGCUACAUUCCCUCCCCUCAGGGAAUUACGGACGAUGUACUGAAAUACAUAUCUGAAGGAGGAUUUAGCAGUAAGCAAAAAAUAGAGUGUUUUGCUGAAAUUGGCCCUGAAGCGCGCACACACCGCCCGUCACUCUCCCCAAGCUCACACCCUAAAGUAAAUAAAACCCUAUAUCUGCAAAGGGGAGGCAAGUCGUAA
RNAcentral lists this ribosomal RNA (476 nucleotides) under Zanclus cornutus (moorish idol). Its description in RNAcentral is "partial small subunit ribosomal RNA". It matches the Rfam family "Bacterial small subunit ribosomal RNA", at positions 788 to 1491 of the family's 1533-position model. Lineage: Eukaryota; Metazoa; Chordata; Actinopteri; Acanthuriformes; Zanclidae. The record is from RNAcentral.